CUACGGUGGGCAGCAGUGGGGAAUAUUGGACAAUGGGCGAAAGCCUGAUCCAGCCAUGCCGCGUGUGUGAAGAAGGCCUUCGGGUUGUAAAGCACUUUCAGUGGGGAAGAAAGCCUUGGGGCUAAUACCCUCGAGGAAGGACAUCACCCACAGAAGAAGCACCGGCUAACUCCGUGCCAGCAGCCGCGGUAAUACGGAGGGUGCGAGCGUUAAUCGGAAUUACUGGGCGUAAAGCGCGCGUAGGCGGUCUGAUAAGCCGGUUGUGAAAGCCCCGGGCUCAACCUAGGAACGGCAUCCGGAACUGUCAGGCUAGAGUGCAGGAGAGGAAGGUAGAAUUCCCGGUGUAGCGGUGAAAUGCGUAGAGAUCGGGAGGAAUACCAGUGGCGAAGGCGGCCUUCUGGACUGACACUGACGCUGAGGUGCGAAAGCGUGGGUAGCAAACAGGAUUAGAUACCCCAGUAGUC
RNAcentral lists this ribosomal RNA (464 nucleotides) under Vreelandella stevensii. RNAcentral's name for it is "partial 16S ribosomal RNA". It matches the Rfam family "Bacterial small subunit ribosomal RNA", at positions 339 to 795 of the family's 1533-position model. The record is from RNAcentral. Lineage: Bacteria; Pseudomonadati; Pseudomonadota; Gammaproteobacteria; Oceanospirillales; Halomonadaceae.